RNAcentral lists this ribosomal RNA (252 nucleotides) under uncultured bacterium. RNAcentral's name for it is "partial 16S ribosomal RNA". It matches the Rfam family "Bacterial small subunit ribosomal RNA", at positions 524 to 776 of the family's 1533-position model. The record is from RNAcentral.
UACGAAGGGGGCGAGCGUUGUUCGGAAUUACUGGGCGUAAAGGGCGCGUAGGCGGCCGAUCAAGUCAGAUGUGAAAGUCCUGGGCUUAACCUGGGGACUGCAUUUGAUACUGAUUGGCUUGAAUGCAGGAGAGGAUAGCGGAAUUCCCAGUGUAGAGGUGAAAUUCGUAGAUAUUGGGAAGAACACCGGUGGCGAAGGCGGCUAUCUGGACUGUGAUUGACGCUGAGGCACGAAAGCGUGGGAGCAAACAGG